GAUGAACGCUGGCGGCGUGCCUAAUACAUGCAAGUCGAGCGAACAGACGAGGAGCUUGCUCCUCUGACGUUAGCGGCGGACGGGUGAGUAACACGUGGAUAACCUACCUAUAAGACUGGGAUAACUUCGGGAAACCGGAGCUAAUACCGGAUAAUAUAUUGAACCGCAUGGUUCAAUAGUGAAAGACGGUUUUGCUGUCACUUAUAGAUGGAUCCGCGCCGCAUUAGCUAGUUGGUAAGGUAACGGCUUACCAAGGCAACGAUGCGUAGCCGACCUGAGAGGGUGAUCGGCCACACUGUAACUGAGACACGGUCCAGACUCCUACGGGAGGCAGCAGUAGGGAAUCUUCCGAAAUGGGCGAAAGCUUGACGGAGCAACGCCGCGUGAGUGAUGAAGGUCUUCGGAUCGUAACACUCUGUUAUUAGGGAAGAACAAAUGUGUAAGUAACUAUGCACGUCUUGACGGUACCUAAUCAGAAAGCCACGGCGAACUACGUG
RNAcentral lists this ribosomal RNA (497 nucleotides) under uncultured bacterium. RNAcentral's name for it is "partial 16S ribosomal RNA". It matches the Rfam family "Bacterial small subunit ribosomal RNA", at positions 28 to 507 of the family's 1533-position model. The record is from RNAcentral.